CUGGAUUGAAAUAAAAUUGUUGAUUGUAUCAAAUCAUAAUCAUCGUUGAUUAUAGUACCCGAUUAAUUAUGACAAGCGACGGCAGACAUUUAUAUAAAAAAAAAAGAAGAAAUUGUGUAUUUGUGAUUCAUUUCACUCGUUUGUUUAUCGAUAAGGCAAACGUCGGGCAAACCCACGAUAAAAAAAAAAUUUGAAAUUGUUCCUUUCAAAACUAUAUUAUUAUACUAAUAAUUAUUUAGUUGUCCGAUUCCCA
Non-coding RNA from Cinara cedri, 253 nucleotides. The record is from the annotation of a GenBank genome assembly. Lineage: Eukaryota; Metazoa; Arthropoda; Insecta; Hemiptera; Aphididae.